This 416-nucleotide ribosomal RNA is filed under the name Boophis reticulatus. Its description in RNAcentral is "partial 16S ribosomal RNA". It matches the Rfam family "Bacterial large subunit ribosomal RNA", at positions 2021 to 2597 of the family's 2925-position model. The record is from RNAcentral. Lineage: Eukaryota; Metazoa; Chordata; Amphibia; Anura; Mantellidae.
UCCCCCCUCCAAUCAGUGAAACUGAUCUCCCCGUGAAGAAGCGGGGAUAAGUAUAUUAGACGAGAAGACCCCAUGGAGCUUUAAACCCGACAGCACCCACUUAUUUAACACCUUCUUAUCCGCCUGGCCCCUGUCUGCUCGGUUUUGGGUUGGGGUGACCGCGGAGCAUAAAAUAGCCUCCACGAAAGAAGGGAUGAUUCCCUCAUUUUAGAACUACACUUCCAAAGACUAACAAAUUAAUUUUAAGUGAUCCGAUACCCGUAUUCGAUCAACGAACCAAGUUACCCUGGGGAUAACAGCGCAAUCUACCUCAAGAGCCCCUAUCGACAGGUGGGUUUACGACCUCGAUGUUGGAUCAGGGUAUCCCAGUGGUGCAGCAGCUACCAAAGGUUCGUUUGUUCAACGAUUAAAACCCU